GAUCAUGGCUCAGGAUGAACGCUAGCUACAGGCUUAACACAUGCAAGUCGAGGGGGAAACGACAUCGAAAGCUUGCUUUUGGUGGGCGUCGACCGGCGCACGGGUGAGUAACGCGUAUCCAACCUGCCCACCACUUGGGGAUAACCUUGCGAAAGUAAGACUAAUACCCAAUGAUAUCCCACGAAGGCAUCCGAAUGGGAUUAAAGAUUUAUCGGUGAUGGAUGGGGAUGCGUCUGAUUAGCUUGUUGGCGGGUAACGGCCACCAAGCCCGCGAUCAGUAGGGGUUCUGAGAGGAAGGUCCCCCACAUUGGAACUGAGACACGGUCCAAACUCCUACGGGAGGCAGCAGUGAGGAAUAUUGGUCAAUGGGCGAGAGCCUGAACCAGCCAAGUAGCGUGCAGGAUGACGGCCCUAUGGGUUGUAAACUGCUUUUAUAAGGGAAUAAAGUGAGCCUCGUGAGGCUUUUUGCAUGUACCUUAUGAAUAAGGACCGGCUAAUUCCGUG
Molecule: ribosomal RNA, 504 nt
Filed under: uncultured bacterium
Lineage: Bacteria
Description: bacterial SSU rRNA
Rfam family: Bacterial small subunit ribosomal RNA
Source: RNAcentral